This 497-nucleotide ribosomal RNA is filed under the name uncultured bacterium. RNAcentral's name for it is "partial 16S ribosomal RNA". It matches the Rfam family "Bacterial small subunit ribosomal RNA", at positions 28 to 507 of the family's 1533-position model. The record is from RNAcentral.
GAUGAACGCUGGCGGCGUGCCUAAUACAUGCAAGUCGAGCGAACAGACGAGGAGCUUGCUCCUCUGACGUUAGCGGCGGACGGGUGAGUAACACGUGGAUAGCCUACCUAUUAGACUUGGAUAACUUCGGGAAACCGGAUCUAAUACCGGAUAAUAUGUUGUAUGGCAGGGUUCAACAGUGCAUGACGGUCUUGCUGACACUUAUAGAUGGUUCCGGGCCGCAUUAGCUAGUUGGUAAGGUAACGGCUUACCAAGGCAACGAUGCGUAGCCGACCUGAGAGGGUGAUCGGCCACACUGGAACUGAGACACGGUCCAGACUCCUACGGGAGGCAGCAGUAGGGAAUCUUCGGCAAUGGGCGAAAGCCUGACGGAGCAAUGCCGCGUGAGUGAAGAAGGUCUUCGGAUCGUAAAGCUCUGUUAUUAGGGAAGAACAAAUGUGUAAGUAACUAUGCCCGUCUUGACGGUACCUAAUCAGAAAGCAACGGCUAACUACGUG